GGUAAAAUGGCUGAGGUUAAGGCGAUAAAUUGUAAAUUUAUAUAUGAAAGUGAUUUCUUUUACUA
Molecule: transfer RNA, 65 nt
Filed under: Pissodes strobi
Lineage: Eukaryota; Metazoa; Arthropoda; Insecta; Coleoptera; Curculionidae
Description: tRNA-Tyr
Rfam family: tRNA
About the family: Transfer RNA (tRNA) molecules are approximately 80 nucleotides in length. Their secondary structure includes four short double-helical elements and three loops (D, anti-codon, and T loops).
Source: RNAcentral